UCGCUAGUAAUCGCGGAUCAGCAUGCCGCGGUGAAUACGUUCCCGGGCCUUGUACACACCGCCCGUCACACCACGAGAGUUUGUAACACCCGAAGUCGGUGGGGUAACCUUUUGGAGCCAGCCGCCUAAGGUGGGACAGAUGAUUGGGGUGAAGUCGUAACAAGGUAGCCGUAUCGGAAGGUGCGGCUGGAUCACCUCCUUUCUAAGGAA
This 210-nucleotide ribosomal RNA is filed under the name Sutcliffiella horikoshii. RNAcentral describes it as "Bacillus horikoshii partial 16S ribosomal RNA". It matches the Rfam family "Bacterial small subunit ribosomal RNA", at positions 1332 to 1533 of the family's 1533-position model. The record is from RNAcentral. Lineage: Bacteria; Bacillati; Bacillota; Bacilli; Caryophanales; Bacillaceae.